AUGGCGGAGAGUGGGUCAAUUUAUAUAGAAUUAGAUUUGGAGUUCGGAGAGCUUUUGAAAGACUGGAUAGAUGAUUGGUUAGAUGAGGAAAAUUCGGAGCACGGAGAUUGGCCAGAGAAUGCGAACGAAGGGGAAGAUGUUAAUGUGACAGAAGAUGAGGGGAAAGAGAAUGUCCAAGAUACUGCCGAUGCAGAUGAUAAGAGGGAUAUGUUCAGGAAGAUAAUGGAUAUGACUUUUAUGUCUUUAGAAGCUGCCUUUGUUUUCUACGACAGCUAUGCUAGAGAUAAUGGUUUCAGCAUUAGAAAGGAUAAGGUCAGAUACAGCAAAACUGAGUCACAUCACAUGAACUAUAUGAGAUAUGUUUGUUCCAGAGAAGGGAAACGUGAUAGCAAGUUGCUAACCGAGGAAGGACACACUCGUAGGCUGAGAGCCGAGACACGUUGCCACUGCGAUGCGCACCUGGCCUUGAAGCUUGACGAAAAGCGUGGGAUUUGGUAUGUUGGUAGUUUUGAGGACAAGCACAGUCAUAUGUUAGCAAGACCGGAUGAAGUACCUUUUCUUUGGUCUCACAGAAAAAUCAAAGAGUACCAGAAAGCUGAGAUAAUAGCAAUGGGAGCCGCAGGGAUUAGAACUCACACUAUUAUGGAUUCUUUCAUCAGCAAACAUGUAAGGUACGGUGGUGUUGGGUUUACAAGGCGUGAUAUAUACAACCUUAUAUCUAGGGAGAAGAGGAAGCUACUUUCAAAAGGUGAUGCUGCCACAUCCAUAGGCAUCAUGGCUAGUAGGAAAAAGAGGGAUCAUAGCUUCUUUUUCGAGUACAAGUUAGAUAAGGAUGGACAUCUGAAUAGAAUGUUCUGGUGUGACUCCCGAUCUCAGCAGGACUAUGAGGAUUUUGGUGACGUAGUUGUAUUUGACAGCACAUACUAG
RNAcentral lists this ribosomal RNA (927 nucleotides) under Triticum aestivum (bread wheat). RNAcentral describes it as "partial small subunit ribosomal RNA". The record is from RNAcentral. Lineage: Eukaryota; Viridiplantae; Streptophyta; Magnoliopsida; Poales; Poaceae.